GGUUGCAUAUUAAUGCUCUACCUGCCUGUUAGAAGUGCAGACAGCUGACCUGAGAACAGAAGGUAGAGAACACGUGUCACGCCAUAGGUAUCAGAGUCCACUGGCCCAGCACUUCAGCAAGCCUCACAUCAUGACGGGGAGCAGGCUGCACAUGAGAAAACCAGCAAACCAGAUCGUUGUGAUCAGUGUGUCUCCUCAUCAAACAAAAUCCUCUCAAAUCUGCACAGCAGGUUCAGCCCCCGGCUAUGUUUGUUUUCCUUGGUUGGAAAACGCUCUGGCUUGCUGGAAAACCCCUUCGUGGCACAGCGGGAAAAUCUGCUCCUCUUCCGCUGUAGUGUACUGUGACAGAGCUUCAUGUCACUAAUGUGGGUAAGGCAGAGUGACAGAGCCUGCCAGAUCCUUUCCCCUGUUGUCUUCUGAUGGAGUGUCAUUAUGGUUUACAAAACCCACAUGCCUGUACCGCUCAAGUGGUGGCAAGGCCACUAAACAACUAUUUACAAUUCUCAACAUUUGAAGUGUUACAAAUUGUUAUUCACCGACCUAAACAAUGACUGAUUGGCUAUAUAGCUUGUUGAAUGGAGGUUUCAGAGCUCUCAGACAUUACAUUUCACAGAAGAGGGAUUGAAUGUAACCCCUGUGUCACUCCUGGACAUCUCUAAUAGGAUUAAUUUGAGACAACAGUUACAUGCCGCCUUCAAAUAAAUGAGAGGAAAUUCACUAUAUUAUCUCUAUAUCUAGCAUUACCAGACAUAACCACAAGGGGAGGAUAGGUAGCAGAAAUCCCUCGGUUGGGCUCACUUAGGGUGAAGUGACGAUGUCUCAUAGGGAUUUUUUUAAGGUCUAUGUCCCUAGAGGAAAAUGUGUGAUAGCAGUGCAGCAGCUGGAUCUUUCUCCGGUUAUCACUCAUUCUUUCAUACCUCCAUCCCAUUCAUUUUUCCCAUGGGGAUUUGACCCUAUUACAAACACUGUGAGCAUACAAGUUAUUGCACACGUAUACCCUUUAAUCAUGUGUCAUUGGAAAGCUUAGAUUCACACCUAUCCAUCAGACACAUUUUCAGAAUGUUCAGAUGGACAGUACUUUGAUUUUUGACCUCUAGGGUACAUUUCAGAAUUACCUGUAUAAAUUGCUUUAAAAGGGCAAUCCUGUUACAUUUUAAACUUUGUUUGACAUGUGAUUCUGAAAGCUCAUGAAAUUACCUUUCAAAUUAUAUAUAAUAUACAGUAACCAACUUUGAAAGCAUCAACUACAACUAUUGUUUAAAAAUACCCCAUAUUCUGCCAUUGACAUUAGGAUGUUGGAAGCUUAGCCAUAUGUUUUUGGAUUGUAACUUUUGUGACAGAGGCACCACAUUUCACAGAAACAGUUAAAACAGGUUAAAAAAUGGUUUUGUAGAUACAGGGCCAUCGCAGGAUUCAAGCAUUAACCACACUGUCACGUUCUGACCUUUAUUUCCUUUGUUUUGUAUUUAUUUAGUAUGGUCAGGGCGUGAGCUGGGUGGGCAGUCUAUGUUUGUUUUUCUAGGUUUUGGGUAUUUCUAUGUUUCGG
Oncorhynchus gorbuscha (pink salmon) is the source of this 1546-nucleotide long non-coding RNA. RefSeq lists it as uncharacterized. The transcript has 3 exons. The record is from RefSeq and is a predicted model, not a curated record. NCBI's taxonomy places the organism in Eukaryota, Metazoa, Chordata, Actinopteri, Salmoniformes, Salmonidae.